GAUGAACGCUAGCGGCAGGCUUAACACAUGCAAGUCGAGGGGCAUCGGGAGGGAAGCUUGCUUUCCUUGCCGGCGACCGGCGCACGGGUGAGUAACACGUAUGCAACCUGCCCUCUUCAGGGGGACAACCUUCCGAAAGGGAGGCUAAUCCCGCGUAUAUCGGUUUCGGGCAUCCGUUAUCGAGGAAAGAUUCAUCGGAAGAGGAUGGGCAUGCGGCGCAUUAGCUAGACGGCGGGGUAACGGCCCACCGUGGCGACGAUGCGUAGGGGUUCUGAGAGGAAGGUCCCCCACAUUGGAACUGAGACACGGUCCAA
Molecule: ribosomal RNA, 314 nt
Filed under: uncultured bacterium
Lineage: Bacteria
Description: bacterial SSU rRNA
Rfam family: Bacterial small subunit ribosomal RNA
Source: RNAcentral